CAGUCGCCGCGGGAAUACGUAGGGUGCAAGCGUUAAUCGGAAUUACUGGGCGUAAAGCGUGCGCAGGCGGUUAUAUAAGACAGAUGUGAAAUCCCCGGGCUCAACUUGGGAACUGCAUUUGUGACUGUAUAGCUAGAGUACGGCAGAGGGGGAUGGAAUUCCGCGUGUAGCAGUGAAAUGCGUAGAUAUGCGGAGGAACACCGAUGGCGAAGGCAAUCCCCUGGGCCUGUACUGACGCUCAUGCACGAAAGCGUGGGGAGCAAACAGGAUUAGAUACCCGUGUAGUCCCUGUCUCUUAUAC
This 301-nucleotide ribosomal RNA is filed under the name uncultured bacterium. Its description in RNAcentral is "partial 16S ribosomal RNA". It matches the Rfam family "Bacterial small subunit ribosomal RNA", at positions 509 to 807 of the family's 1533-position model. The record is from RNAcentral.